GGAAUAUUGGACAAUGGGCGAAAGCCUGAUCCAGCCAUGCCGCGUGUGUGAAGAAGGUCUUCGGAUUGUAAAGCACUUUAAGUUGGGAGGAAGGGCAGUAAGCGAAUACCUUGCUGUUUUGACGUUACCGACAGAAUAAGCACCGGCUAACUCUGUGCCAGCAGCCGCGGUAAUACAGAGGGUGCAAGCGUUAAUCGGAAUUACUGGGCGUAAAGCGCGCGUAGGUGGUUUGUUAAGUUGAAUGUGAAAUCCCCGGGCUCAACCUGGGAACUGCAUCCAAAACUGGCAAGCUAGAGUAGGGCAGAGGGUGGUGGAAUUUCCUGUGUAGCGGUGAAAUGCGUAGAUAUAGGAAGGAACACCAGUGGCGAAGGCGACCACCUGGGCUCAUACUGACACUGAGGUGCGAAAGCGUGGGGAGCAAACAGGAUUAGAUACCCCAG
Molecule: ribosomal RNA, 440 nt
Filed under: uncultured Pseudomonas sp.
Lineage: Bacteria; Pseudomonadati; Pseudomonadota; Gammaproteobacteria; Pseudomonadales; Pseudomonadaceae
Description: bacterial SSU rRNA
Rfam family: Bacterial small subunit ribosomal RNA
Source: RNAcentral